RNAcentral lists this ribosomal RNA (697 nucleotides) under Vibrio parahaemolyticus. RNAcentral's name for it is "bacterial SSU rRNA". It matches the Rfam family "Bacterial small subunit ribosomal RNA", at positions 64 to 754 of the family's 1533-position model. Lineage: Bacteria; Pseudomonadati; Pseudomonadota; Gammaproteobacteria; Vibrionales; Vibrionaceae. The record is from RNAcentral.
GAGUUAUCUGACCUUCGGGGGACGAUAACGGCGUCGAGCGGCGGACGGGUGAGUAUGCCUAGGAAAUUGCCCUGAUGUGGGGGAUAACCAUUGGAAACGAUGGCUAAUACCGCAUGAUGCCUACGGGCCAAAGAGGGGGACCUUCGGGCCUCUCGCGUCAGGAUAUGCCUAGGUGGGAUUAGCUAGUUGGUGAGGUAAGGGCUCACCAAGGCGACGAUCCCUAGCUGGUCUGAGAGGAUGAUCAGCCACACUGGAACUGAGACCGGUCCAGACUCCUACGGGAGGCAGCAGUGGGGAAUAUUGCACAAUGGGCGCAAGCCUGAUGCAGCCAUCCGCGUGUAUGAAGAAGGCCUUCGGGUUGUAAAGUACUUUCAGUCGUGAGGAAGGUGGUAGUGUUAAUAGACUAUCAUUUGACGUUAGCGACAGAAGAAGCACCGGCUAACUCCGUGCCAGCAGCCGCGGUAAUACGGAGGGUGCGAGCGUUAAUCGGAAUUACUGGGCGUAAAGCGCAUGCAGGUGGUUUGUUAAGUCAGAUGUGAAAGCCCGGGGCUCAACCUCGGAAUUGCAUUUGAAACUGGCAGACUAGAGUACUGUAGAGGGGGGUAGAAUUUCAGGUGUAGCGGUGAAAUGCGUAGAGAUCUGAAGGAAUACCGGUGGCGAAAGGCGGCCCCCUGGGACAGUACUGACACUCAGAUGC